UACGAAGGGGGCUAGCGUUGCUCGGAAUCACUGGGCGUAAAGGGUGCGUAGGCGGGUCUUUAAGUCAGGGGUGAAAUCCUGGAGCUCAACUCCAGAACUGCCUUUGAUACUGAAGAUCUUGAGUUCGGGAGAGGUGAGUGGAACUGCGAGUGUAGAGGUGAAAUUCGUAGAUAUUGGGAGGAACACCAGUGGCGAAGGCGGCUCACUGGACCGGUACUGACGCUGAUGCGCGAAAGCGUGGGGAGCAAACGGG
Molecule: ribosomal RNA, 253 nt
Filed under: uncultured bacterium
Lineage: Bacteria
Description: partial 16S ribosomal RNA
Rfam family: Bacterial small subunit ribosomal RNA
Source: RNAcentral